CACAUCUCUCAAUAACGGAUUGAUUUAGAAUUAGGUUCAUAUUUUUUAUAUGAGAUCAUCUUAGUUUCAUGACUCAGGUUGUGAGU
Molecule: small nucleolar RNA, 86 nt
Filed under: Salix viminalis (osier)
Lineage: Eukaryota; Viridiplantae; Streptophyta; Magnoliopsida; Malpighiales; Salicaceae
Source: RNAcentral